UGGCUCUCGCAUCGAUGAAGAACGCAGCGAAAUGCGAUAAGUAAUGUGAAUUGCAGAAUUCAGUGAAUCAUCGAAUCUUUGAACGCACCUUGCACUCCUUGGUAUUCCGAGGAGUAUGCCUGUUUGAGUGUCAUUAAAUUCUCAAAUCUAAUCUCUUUAUUGGGUAUUAGACUUGGAUGUGAGGUUGCUGGUUUCUGUUUAGAAAUCAGCUUCCUUUAAAUGCAUUAGUAGAGCUAUUCUCAUUUGGUGUUUGAUAGUCUAUCAAUACCAACUCUUUAGAGUCCUAGUUUUCUGCUUAUAACCCUGUUCAUUCUCUUUAUCUUUUAUCAAGAUAGAAAGAUGAUUUUUGACUAUUUGACCUCAAAUCAGGUAGGACUACCCGCUGA
Molecule: unclassified non-coding RNA, 386 nt
Filed under: uncultured fungus
Lineage: Eukaryota; Fungi
Description: partial contains 5.8S ribosomal RNA and internal transcribed spacer 2
Rfam family: 5.8S ribosomal RNA (bases 1-133)
Source: RNAcentral